RNAcentral lists this ribosomal RNA (423 nucleotides) under uncultured Glomeromycotina. RNAcentral describes it as "SSU rRNA". It matches the Rfam family "Eukaryotic small subunit ribosomal RNA", at positions 671 to 1092 of the family's 1831-position model. Lineage: Eukaryota; Fungi; Glomeromycota. The record is from RNAcentral.
CGGUACGUACUGGCAUUGUUGGUUUCUCCCUUCUGACGAACCAUGAUGUCAUUUAUUUGGUGUUGUGGGGAAUCAGGACUGUUACUUUGAAAAAAUUAGAGUGUUUAAAGCAGGCUCACGCUUGAAUACAUUAGCAUGGAAUAAUGAAAUAGGACGUUUGAUUCUAUUUUGUUGGUUUCUAGGAUCGACGUAAUGAUUAAUAGGGAUAGUUGGGGGCAUUAGUAUUCAAUUGUCAGAGGUGGAAUUCUUGGAUUUAUUGAAGACUAACUACUGCGAAAGCAUUUGCCAAGGAUGUUUUCAUUAAUCAAGAACGAAAGUUAGGGGAUCGAAGACGAUCAGAUACCGUCGUAGUCUUAACCAUAAACUAUGCCGACUAGGGAUCGGAUGAUGUUAAUUUUUUAAUGACUCAUUCGGCGCCUUACG